This is a non-coding RNA of Taeniopygia guttata (zebra finch), 5236 nucleotides long. The record is from RefSeq and is a predicted model, not a curated record. NCBI's taxonomy places the organism in Eukaryota, Metazoa, Chordata, Aves, Passeriformes, Estrildidae.
GCACAGAACAUAAUAUCAAACGUAAACAGAACACACGAUUGGAGAUACAAACACCAUAACGUCACCCUAGGACACCAGAGCUGGCCCCGGUAGGACACAAAGUGUGAGCUCUUGGUGUUUCCCCAGGUCCCAGUCUGGAGCAGGUUCGAACAGAACCAAGAAAAGGGAAAGAAAACCAGUCCAGGGAAAACUUGGACUGCCUCAGCUAGCUAUACUAACUAAAAAGCAAAGGAGCCCCGUGUUCUGCCCCGUCCAUGCCCAGACAACACAGUGGAGUUCUGUGUUCCAGCAGACUGUGCAGGAGUGAAUGCAGGCUGAUAACAAAACUCCGUGCUUCUUCUUCUCCCCGCUUUCAGUCUCUGAGCCAAUCUUGAAGGCACAGAAUAUAAUAUCCAGCAUAAACAGAGCACCCGAUGAGGAUACAAGCAUCAUAACAUCACCCUAGGACAGGAGGUAAUAUAAGAACAUAUCUUUAUUUGAAGGCCUUCAGGGGCACUUAUGGAAAGAUGUCCACAAAAGCCCACCUGCUCAGGGGUGAGUACAUUUUUAUAGGUUUUAGGAAAUUAGCAUAAUUGAUAAAAAGCAACAAUUAGGAGGACAAGUGGUGAUGCAAUUCCCCCCCAGGUCAAGCCCCUUCUCUGGAUUCCCCCCUUGGCACUAGCUGUACUUUGUCCAUGAAAAUGUAUCUUGAAGACUUGUUCUCAACCUUGGUUCCCAGGAAGAACCAAGAAAGCAUUGGGGCCUUGUACCCCCCGGGGCUUGGAGCUCUGGAAUUUGUUUUGUCUUCCUGCCUAGGGAAAGCCAUAGAAAAGUACUGGGAAAACUAGCCACUAAUAUAAUCGACUACAAAGUUACAAAUAUAUGUGCAAAGAAUACAGAAAACAUAUAAAAGAAGAAACAGCAAUCCCCAAAACACCAUCAACACCUUGCUUUUUUUGGUUAAACCACUCCCUCUUUUGUACAAUGUUCUUUUUUAUUGUUGUGUUUAUUGAUAUUUUAUUUAGUAAAAUUGUGGAUCUAACCUUUUUUAACCUCUUGUAGUUCCAUUUUUUGGGUUUUUUUUCCUUCCCUCCAUUGUCAUGAGGGAGGGAAGGGGGAAGGGGCUCAUUCAGUCUUAAACUUUUCAUCACUGUAAAACCAUUACAUCCUCUCAUCUUUGAAGAGAUGCCUACUCAAGCUAGAUAUACAUAAUAUAUUCACCUUCUCUCAAAUUUCCUGCUUGACUACUGAUUCUUCCCUUGUGUAAUACAGAUGAGUGAGUGGUUCCCAAGGAGUAGUUAGUGUCAUCUGCUUCAAGGCUGCCCAGCAUCCCCCAGGUUACUGCUAAAGAGACAGAAGUAAUUGUCUUUUUUUGUUCCCUAAAACAGCAUUUUUAAAAAUAGAAGUUAUCUUUUUCUAUUUAAAUCUUAUUUUUAAUUGAUUUUUUAAAUAAUGUAUUUAUUGUAAAAUAAAUAUUUUUGUCUAGUUUGUGUUUUCUAUGCAAAUAUUAUUUACUAUGUCCCAACAUAGCUUCAUUAAUUGGGGUUAAGAACCUUCUUAGUAUUUAGAGAGGACAGACUGAGGAACUGGAUAUCAUUGAGGAACUAGCUGUAAUUAAAAAAAAACACUGCUGUAUAUGGGACUUGAGAAAAACAGAGGGGUUUUUUUAGUCUUUGCAAUAAUUUUAGAGAAGAUGUGUGAAGCAGCAUGGCCAGAAACUGAUGGGUUUAUUGUUUUUUAUUUCAUUGACUAGCUUCCCCUAAAAAAAAAAAAAAAGAAAAUUUUCCUCAAUGUGUGAUAUUUAUGCCCAGACUAUAGGCUUUAUUUGUCACAGCAUCAUUGAGUUUGAUUUAUUUGCAUUAGAUGGUCUUGUUCCUUUAUUUCAAAGGGAUUUAGGCACAGUCUAACUCAGCAUUGUUGUAAAAUAACAGCUGGAAAUCCUAAUUACAUUGAAUGUUCUUGAUGCAACAAUCGGACUUGGUUCACAUUUUUGUGAUAACACCAUCACUGGAGCUAUUGAGACUGGAUAAAUCCAGUGGUCAUCCUGUAUUGGGUGAUGAACAGAAAGUUGGAAAACUUAAUCUAAAAAGAUUUUCCAUUUGCAGUGUUUCAGUGGUUUUAUUUGUUCACUUUGGAAAUUCCUUUUUCAGCUGAUUUCUGAGUUAUGUAAGUUGUUAAACAUUUGCUGUAUUUGCAUUUUCCCCAUCUAUAGGUCAUUUGGAUCCAGGCUUCCGUGCAGGUGACAAAAUAUCUUUAAGUAAUGCCCAGAUCAAUGAAGAAAUUAAUAUUGCCUCUUCUGAUAGUGAAGUAGAGAUUGUUGGAGUUCAGGAACAUGCCAGGUAUGUGCAUCCCAGGGGAGGUGUGAUUCAGAGUGUGUCUUCUUGGAAGCAUGACUCAAGCUCACAAUAUAUUAACAGUCACCAAACACAAUUAUGGACAGCAGUGACUCCCCAACAGAACUGGUCUUCACCCCCAGAAGUAGUAGACCUCACUUUGGAUGAGGAUACAAGACGCAAAUAUCUACUGUAAUGCAGCAUACCUUUGUUUCUGUCCCCACCUCUUCUCCCCUUUGUGGCACAGAUGUUCAUUGUUAAAGUUUCAACUUCAGAAGUUCCCUUCUUGGCUUUACGAAAUUCAAACUCAUUAUCUUUUUCAUUUCCAUAAGAAUGUAGUAUGAUUUCAAUAUAAUUUAAAAUAGUUUUACCUUCUCAAAGAAGGAUUCCUCCCAGAAUUAAAGCCUAACAGUACCAAAUUUAAAACACAUCUACAGUUUCUAACAUGUGCAUGUUAAUCUGAAGAAAUAACUGUGUGCAGACUUAUGCCCAUCCACCCUUUCUCACCUCCAAUUUCAGAACAUUUUUAAUUUAUCAGUAUAUUGAGUUUCUUAGUAGAAGUUAGUGUUUUGCUGUGUGUGAGCAUCAGUGGUUUUGAAAAAUGCUGUGUCCUCACUGAUUUCAGUGGAACUGGGUGUAUUCAGUACUUCUGAAAAUUGGGCCAAGAGUAUUUUUUACCCAAACUGAUUUGGAUAUUUUACCAGCAGGAGGGACUGUCUUUAAUGCAAAUGGCCCAUAACUUAUGCACUGAACAGCUUUUAUUUUAAGCAUUUUUAUUUUCAAUAUAAUUUCUAGUUUGCACUCUUCAGUUCUGAGUAUUUUAUCUGACUACUGUGUUUCACUGAUCAUUUACCAUGCCUUGUUAUCGUUUAAAAUAGUAAUAGUAGUGACUUAGUAGCAGAUGAUUAUGGCAAAAGCACAGGAAAAUGAAAAGUAAUAAAAAGGCCCAGCAUCCCUCUCUUUUUUAAAUAGAGCUGAAUUUUUUUGCCUAAAUCAGAGUCUUGCCUGGAGUAGGAGAGAAAUGAAACAUUUUGCUCACAGUCCUCAUUUCUACUGUUGCUUAUUUGCUUCAUUCACCAUCUCAAAAACAACCCAACCCCAAACAAAUUCCAAAAUCCCAGUCUGGCAAAGCACUUUAGCAGCUGUGUAACAUUCAGCAGGGACAGUUUGGUGAACCUAGAUGGACCAUUCAAGUGCUUAAAACUCUGUCCUAAAAGGUGUUGUUGGAUUAGAACUUAAGGUUGCGAUUUUUUUAAUUAUUAUAAUUAUUUUUUUAAAUAGAUCUGUACUAUUUUCCUGGCUUUAGGUCAUGUCUCUUAUGCUAGUUUUGGAAUUGCUUUUUCAGAUAUGAUUCAGGAAACACUUUCUACCAGAAUAUUUACUGAAAUCAGCGAAACUACUUACUUUAGCAGUCUGUAGUUUCUGUAGUGUAUAUGGAAAUUCUUGCCAUUCACCUGUCAUUUUGAGCCUUUCUCAAAGCAAAAGCCAAAGAUUAGACUUUACAAGAUUAUAUUCACUUUAAAUGUCUAUUGUGCAAUUAAAACAUUUAUUUGUAUUCCUGUUGUUUCUAGUGGGAAUUUUGUGCAGCUCUAUCAUCAAAUUUUCUGCCAUUUGAGGCUGAACAGGUGGUAAUAAGGACAUGGGAAGUUCUAUUUUCUUUUUGUGUUGGCUGGUUUAAAAAUGUUGUUUGGCUUCCAAUAAUUUUAUCUGCAGGCAAAAAAAAAAAAAAAAAAAAAAAGCAGAACAGCUCAGACUGCACUUUAAAGAACAAUUAGGUAAGGGAUUGAUAUUCCAAUUUCAAGCUUUCUAAAACAUUGAAUAUAAGUAUAUUGCAUGGCCAGAAAAAUGUAUGUGGUGCUUCUAGUGACCGAUUUCUUUCUCUGGGGGAAGGAAAGAGGAUGGGAGAGGAGUGUGGAUGGAGCCCAUUCACACUGCAGUAGGGAAAAGCCCCGUGCUAUUUGGGCACUAUAUUCAGUAGUGUUCUUUUCUCUUUGCAUUUUAAUCACACAACUCAGCCAAUAUUUUAGCGGGCUAGCGCACAUUUUUUCAGCAGUAACUUAAACAGUGGCAUACUGUGGCUACUUUUUCCUGUUUCACAAAGUCUUUUGAACAUCAGUUGUGAAGAAAGUUGCAGAAAUCCAUUUAUAGUCAUUCUAUGAAAAAUGCAAGCUAACACUUGUUUUUGAGUUUGAUGUGACUUCCAUGUAUAUAUAAAAACAACUGUGUCCUAGCCAAGCUUACUCCAAUUGUGCACUGUGUUUCUUUAAACAGUUCAUGCAUUGUAGUCUGAUGCAAGUUUUCUUUUAUUUAAAAUGCUACAUAUUUUUUCUUAUUCUUAACAAAUUUGAAAGGUUGAUGAGUAAUCUGAAAACUGCAAUCACUGGAUAGCUCGGAAGUUGUUUGGUUUUAAUUUUUUUUUUUUUCUUUAAUAAGAGCAAUAGGUGCCUGUAUGAUUUUGCUCUUCUCAGCAGGAAAGAGAAAUGAUAGCCAUUGUAUGGCUAAGAACCAAUGCACUUGGGCCUGAACCAGAACCCAUUGGAGUUGAUGCGGGACUUUCCAUGAAAUUUAGUAUGCAUUGGCUCAAGCCCUUCAGGCUUUAAGCAGUUCCUGAAUUGCUGGAGUGGGAAUUUGGAAUCUUCUAUAGUGAAAACAAAUCAUUUCUUAGAAUGUAAAUGUUUAAAACAUGCAAGUCUAGUUAAAAAUUCUAGAUUGUUCUCAAUAGUCAUUAUUUAGUUGUCAUUUUCCAUCUAGUAUUUAAUGGUCUUUGAAGAAAAGAAAAUAAAACAGAGCGGUUCAUAUAUAUAUAUAUAUUUUUUUUUUCCUGUGUGUGCAAGAUAAGACCUGUUUUUUGAAACAAGUCUGUAGCAUAAAGGUUAAACUAUUUUAAAACAAAAUAAAAUGGUGUAUUAUUUAAAUAGUAAAAA